Molecule: long non-coding RNA, 280 nt
Filed under: Setaria viridis
Lineage: Eukaryota; Viridiplantae; Streptophyta; Magnoliopsida; Poales; Poaceae
Description: long non-coding RNA (SVIR_LNC010493)
Source: RNAcentral
UUAUUGUAUACUGCUCCUUGGUUAUCAUUUUAUUUCCUGCAAAAUGUUAGUGGACAACAAAUACUUGAGGUCGCUGAAGAGUUUUGAAAGGAUUUUAUUGUUGCCCCCAAGGUUAGUUGCUCACAUCCAUGCUUAAGGAAAAGCACAUUCAAAAUUCAAGUAGCAUGAAUCCCAAAAUGCUUGCCAUCACUUUAUUUCAUCCAUUUUUCGAGAGACUUUUUUCAAAAAGGUUUUUUUAACUUUAUUGUUCACCAAUUUUUUUUUGUCUUUUCAGUAUAAG